Long non-coding RNA from Monodelphis domestica (gray short-tailed opossum), 970 nucleotides. RefSeq lists it as uncharacterized. NCBI's taxonomy places the organism in Eukaryota, Metazoa, Chordata, Mammalia, Didelphimorphia, Didelphidae. The record is from RefSeq and is a predicted model, not a curated record.
UAUUGAAGAUGAAACAGUCUAACCAGGGAUAGCAAUCUUUCAAAGAUUAAUAGAGCCAGCAGAGGUCCAUAUGUCAAAAUCCAGGUCAGAUUUUUCAGUCAACUGUCUCUGGUCCACCGGCAGAGCCUUGGGAAGUGACCAUGAUCCAAUCCGGGAGUACACUGAUCUCUACAGCCAAACUGUUGAAUCCUACAUGCAAUUUCUGCAACAGAUUGACGAAGGAUAUAACAAGAUCUGGAAACUCCAAGUUCUCUAGUACUUAUAAUAAUUAAUGAUGAUACAAUUACAACUGGGAGAAUGGCUAGAGCCUGAGACCAGAAGUAAAAUGGUAAUGAAAGCAGAACCAUGGAUUUUUUGUCAUUGGCCUUGUGCCUGUUAUUAGUGGGACUAGUGGCAAAGGUAAGAUGGCAUAAUGCUCCAUAGACAGAGUUCAAAGGGGCUAAAAGCUUUCAUUUUGGAGAUGAGAAAAACAUGCCUAAAUUUAGAUGUUGUGACUUGUCCAAGAAACAAAUUCCCUAAAACUAAGAAUGAACCAAAUAGAAACUAAUGUCUCCAAAACAAUAUAAGAAGCAGUAAAACAACAUCAAAAGAUUGAAAAAAAGAGAAGAAAAUAUAAGGUAUCUCUUGGUAUAAAACAACUGAGCUGAAAAACAUUAAAAAGCUACAAGGUUGAAAGGGAAGCUCAAGACACAAACUCAGAAAAAGACACUGGCUUGAAAAUAUCUAAAAGCAAAGCCAUAAAGAAAAAAUGAAGAUUUAACACAAAUUCAAGAAUUUUCAGAAAAGCUGAAAGAAGAGUUUUUUUAAAAAGAGCUUCCUUCUUCCAAAAGAUUCUAAAAACCAAAGAAGAGGGGUAGAGGAAAAAUUGAGAAAAGAAAUAAGAGCCAUGAAAGAAAAUUAUGAAAAGAGAAUUAAUAGCUUGGUAAAAGAGCAUGAAAAACUGAAGAAAAUAACUUCUUAAAAAUAUGAA